This 3139-nucleotide long non-coding RNA is filed under the name Nicotiana benthamiana. RNAcentral's name for it is "long non-coding RNA (NBEN_LNC003055)". The record is from RNAcentral. Lineage: Eukaryota; Viridiplantae; Streptophyta; Magnoliopsida; Solanales; Solanaceae.
CGAUUUUCAUCUUCUUCAACCCCCAUUGUUCUGUUUUCUUGAACUAGACGACCAGCCCCGUCGUUCUUCGUUUUCACCUCUCACUCACGACCACAACAACUAGCGAACUUCACACAAAAAUCAACCAUGGCUGCUUUCUUCUUUUUCUUCAGAUAAGAGAAAAAAAGGCCCUAGGAGAUCAUCCCUAACCAUCCACGCACACCCAGUCGCCGCCGCUGCCAUCUCCCGUGAAACCUCCAUCACUGCCGCGUCUUCCUCAUCUCUUCACCAGCAGCUCCACCGGCGAGUUUAGCCGGGAAACCGAUGAACUAGACUUCCUUCACCUCUAUCUCUAAUGCUGGUGAUGUUCGAGCUUCCGUCGUAGUUAAGGUUCCCGGUCCAGGUUGUUGUUGCUAAUUUUCAGUCAAGGUUCGAUGUAUAAUUUUGUUGGAAGUUCUACCAUUAAUCCGAUUUUAAGAAAAUUUCGACUCUAUUAUUGAGGUUUGACUCUAAAUUCUUCUUUUAGAUGUUCAUGAGCAAAUGUUCUGCGUUUGUUUAUUACCAUAUUCUAGUCAUUGUCAUGCAAAUCAUUUGCAUUCCUAAUUUUAUAUUUGUUGAAGUAGCUCUUGGAUUUUAAAUUUUUUAAUUAUAAGAAAUUGUGAUGCAACUGCCAAUAUGUGCUGAGAACAAAAUUGUUUAAGAUGUGAAUGAGGUUUAGCAAAUUAAUUGGUUAGGAUAGUGAUUAAAAUUAAUAGUAGGACCUCUUAAAAAUAAUUGAGUUUGGAUUGAAGAAAUUAAAUUAAUGUGAAUGUUUGGCUGACAUUUAGGCUUUACACGGACGUAGCCUUUAACGUGUUUAAAUUUUGGACUAUUGUUCUACCAUGCCAGUUUGUUCAAUAGAGUCAUUGUUCAGAUUAAUAUUUUGUUUGAUAUUUCCGUUAGUAGCAUGUUAGGCCGAUCAUACGAGAAGGCAAAUAUUAGAAAGUUUAUUUUAAUUUAUAAUGUUCGGAUAUAAGGUGAGAGGUUGUCCCUUAGUUAAAUUUAUUCGAAAAAUUCCCCGUGAAGUUCGUAAAUAUUAUUAUUCAGGUUAUACCCGAAGAACUAUGUAAUUAUUUUGGAGACCUUGACGAGCAUGGUGGAGAGAUUGUAGUAUAGGUUAGCUUAGGACUUUUCUUUUCUUUUCCUUUCAUUUUCUCUUAUUAGGAAGGGACGAACUUGAGUCUCUUGUAUGUUUAUUUUUUCUUUUCGGUGUUAUUUUUACCUCAAUUUGAAUAUUUUAAAAGGCAACUUGAUCAAGUCUGCAACCGUAUUAGUUACGGAACUUGGGGAGUGCCAACACCAUCUCCCGGAGUCAAAUAAAUCCCCUUACCCAAAUCUCUGGUGUAGACUUAAUUUUAGAGUUCAAAGUGUUUUGAAAGGAAAAUUAUUAUUUUUAGAAAAAAAAAUGGUGACAUGACACACCGAAAUGAAAUGUCAGGUGGCGACUCUGAGAUAUUUCCUUCUAAACAAAAUUCUUUAUCACUUUUUAAAUUGGAAAACCCUUUUCAAGCUUUAAUAAAUCUUUUUAUUAAUUUUAAGAGGGUUUAGUGAAGUUUGUUUUAAAAAAUGGGCGUGACAUCUCUGGCGACUCUGCUGAGGAGUUGCAGGUUCGAGCUGGUAUUUGAUCUUGAUGACUUUUAGGAUAUUCAGUUGAGGUAUUUGUUGUCUUUAUUUGCUUUAUUUGUCUUAUUUUCUUGUUUUUUUGCUUAUUUGUUUAUCGCUUUUCUUAAUGUGUUACUGUUUUAUAAACUGUCAUCAUUUUGCAUAACCAUAAGUCUUCUUUCUAAAACAAGUCUUGGAGUAUGCAUCGCGUGCACGAACUCUUUGUUGAGUCACCCUUAAUUUAGGAGGGAGGGGGUCGUUAGAUGUAUGGAGCGGGAGGAAAGCUUGAGCAGCCACCAUCGACCAUACGCUCCCCCGAAUUGUCUUGUUAGUGAAACUCAAUCUUAGGUCAGCCUUUAAGUCAUUCUUAUUUGCAUCAUAUCAUUUAAACCUAGCAGGGCUCGGUCCCAGGUAUCGUGUCCCUUUGUAGGAAGCCUAUCCAAUUUUUGUCAAAAUGGACCCGCGGCCCAAAAAGAUAUUUAAUUAUCCAUAUGUGAUACAUGUUGCAUCUUUGAAGGUAUAAAGGUUAUUGGGCGGACCGAUGCUUGGGAAAAAAGGAUGAAAGAUGAAGCAAGUAGGACCCUGUAAUAUUCUUCUUUCACUACUUUUUCAAAAAUAAAAAAAAAUCCAAAAGGAUUUUACACUUUCCCGUUAUUUUCCAAAAGACAAAAAAAAUAAAAAUAGAAAAUCCAAAAAGAAUUACACUUUUCCAUUAUUUUCCAAAAAGUUCAAAAGAAAAAAAAUCCAAAAGAUUUUACAAUUUUCCCUUUUUUCUAAAUUUCAAAAAAAAUAAGAAAAAGAAAAUCCAAAAAGAUUUUACAUUUUUCAUCAUUUCUCAAAAAGACAAAACAAUAUGGUUUUUCAAAUUAGUUGCAUUUUUAAAGGCUUUCUCCCAUGUCCAAUCUUCCCGAACUACGCGAACCUGAUUCUCGUCUCUCGGGACGAGAUACAUAGGCAACCCACAUAGGGUUCGGUCUUCCUAGUGAGCCUUAGGUUCUUGGCUUCGCGAGGUCUUAGCUAAUGCAUGUCUAGCCACUUUUGGCCACAUCGGUCAUUCUUGCAAAAUAGGGUCAUUUUAACAAAAAAUGGUACAAUAAACCAUGUCUUAGGAUCUUGAUUCCACAACUAGGAGUCAUAUUACUUUAAGGCACAUCCUUAUUGACUUUGCAUCCUUAGCCACUUCUGUCAUAUCGGCCGUUUAUGCGAAAUAUGUCAUUUCUACAAAUUGAUUCUGGGCCUUCAUUAUUGGGAAUGUGAAUCCAUACAGGCUUCAAUGAGGUAUUUCCAUAUCUUUGAAUUCAAUCUUGUUGAGUUUACACUUCUAGUCAUCCUUAGCUACAUUUUGGCUACGUAUGUCAUUUUACAAAAAUAGCCUUAAUCAUGCCUUGCAUGUGUCCAAUAGAAGGUGUCGUGGCAUCAAAUGUGUAAUGAGUCACUAAACUCUAUUUGAUUUUAUUUUUCCAUUCAGGUAUGGAGCAAUUUGCUAAAGUGUGAAUAUGACAUAACCUCAGGACCAUUC